AGAGUUUGAUCAUGGCUCAGGACGAACGCUGGCGGCGUGCUUAACACAUGCAAGUCGAACGGUGAAGGGGAGCUUGCUCCCCGGAUCAGUGGCGAACGGGUGAGUAACACGUGGGCAACCUGCCCCAGACUUCGGGAUAACGCUUCGAAAGAGGUGCUAAUACCGGAUACGAACCUCCCUGGCAUCUGGGAGGUUGGAAAGUUUUUCGGUCUGGGAUGGGCCCGCGGCCUAUCAGCUUGUUGGUGAGGUAACGGCUCACCAAGGCGACGACGGGUAGCCGGCCUGAGAGGGCGACCGGCCACACUGGGACUGAGACACGGCCCAGACUCCUACGGGAGGCAGCAGUGGGGAAUAUUGCGCAAUGGGCGCAAGCCUGAUCCAGCCAUACCGCGUGAGUGAAGAAGGCCUUCGGGUUGUAAAGCUCUUUCGGCCGGGACGAAAUCGCACGGGUUAACACCGCGUGUGGAUGACGGUACCGGAAUAAGAAGCACCGGCUAACUACGUG
This 505-nucleotide ribosomal RNA is filed under the name uncultured bacterium. RNAcentral describes it as "bacterial SSU rRNA". It matches the Rfam family "Bacterial small subunit ribosomal RNA", at positions 8 to 507 of the family's 1533-position model. The record is from RNAcentral.